AGGGUGGCCUUCAGACGGGAUCCAUGAGCAUCCCAACCCAAAUGAUUUGAGGUUUUCAACAACAUUAAGGCCUACUGGUUUUGAGCCCAGCGCUUCGUUCGGCUCUACGUGCUUAUGGAGUACCCUGGAGUUCAGAACUGGUAUCUCAUCCUAUCCACAAAAUAAUGACAGCAAGGUUCCCCUGUUCAUGAAGAAUGGUCCAGCACCCAAAGGACGUCCAGCCGACCUGACACAACUGUGGGAAGCAUCGGAAGUCAACAUGUGCCAGCAUCCCUGUGGAAUGCUUUCAACACCUUUUAGAGUCCAUGA
Long non-coding RNA from Oncorhynchus gorbuscha (pink salmon), 309 nucleotides. RefSeq lists it as uncharacterized. NCBI's taxonomy places the organism in Eukaryota, Metazoa, Chordata, Actinopteri, Salmoniformes, Salmonidae. The transcript is spliced from 3 exons. The record is from RefSeq and is a predicted model, not a curated record.